CUACGUGCCAGCAGCCGCGGUAAUACGGAGGGUGCGAGCGUUAAUCGGAAUAACUGGGCGUAAAGGGCACGCAGGCGGACUUUUAAGUGAGGUGUGAAAGCCCCGGGCUUAACCUGGGAAUUGCAUUUCAGACUGGGAGUCUAGAGUACUUUAGGGAGGGGUAGAGUUCCACGUGUAGCGGUGAAAUGCGUAGAGAUGUGGAGGAAUACCGAAGGCGAAGGCAGCCCCUUGGGAAUGUACUGACGCUCAUGUGCGAAAGCGUGGGGAGCAAACAGGAUUAGAUACCCUGGUAGUCCACGCUGUAAACGAUGUCGAUUUGGGGGUUGAACUUUAAGUUUGGCGCCCGUAGCUAACGUGAUAAAUCGACCGCCUGGGGAGUACGGCCGCAAGGUUAAAACUCAAAUGAAUUGACGGGGGCCCGCACAAGCGGUGGAGCAUGUGGUUUAAUUCGAUGCAACGCGAAGAACCUUACCUACUCUUGAC
Molecule: ribosomal RNA, 483 nt
Filed under: uncultured bacterium
Lineage: Bacteria
Description: bacterial SSU rRNA
Rfam family: Bacterial small subunit ribosomal RNA
Source: RNAcentral